AAUAGAUACCCCGGUAGUCCACGCCGUAAACGAUGAGUGCUAGGUGUUGGGGGUUUCCGUCCUCUGUGCCGAAGGUAACCCAAUAAGCACUCCGCCUGGGGAGUACGGCCGCAAGGCUGAAACUCAAAGGAAUUGACGGGGGCCCGCACAAGCGGUGGAGCAUGUGGUUUAAUUCGAAGCAACGCGAAGAACCUUACCAGGGCUUGACAUCCCGCUGACCGGUGUAGAGAUACACCUUCCCUUCGGGGCAGCGGUGACAGGUGGUGCAUGGUUGUCGUCAGCUCGUGUCGUGAGAUGUUGGGUUCAGUCCCGCAACGAGCGCAACCCUUGUCGUCAGUUGCCAGCACAUGAUGGUGGGCACUCUGGCGAGACAGCCGGUGAAAGCCGGAGGAAGGUGGGGAUGACGUCAAAUCAUCAUGCCCCUUAUGUCCUGGGCUACACACGUGCUACAAUGGCCGGUACAACGGGCAGCGAACCCGUGAGGGGGAGCCAAUCCCAAAAAACCGGUCUCAGUUCGGAUCGCAGG
This 526-nucleotide ribosomal RNA is filed under the name uncultured bacterium. Its description in RNAcentral is "bacterial SSU rRNA". It matches the Rfam family "Bacterial small subunit ribosomal RNA", at positions 777 to 1304 of the family's 1533-position model. The record is from RNAcentral.